UACGGAGGGGGCAAGCGUUGUUCGGAAUUACUGGGCGUAAAGGGCUCGUAGGCGGCCGACUAAGUCAGACGUGAAAUCCCUCGGCUUAACCGGGGAACUGCGUCUGAUACUGGACGGCUUGAGUUCGGGAGAGGGAUGUGGAAUUCCAGGUGUAGCGGUGAAAUGCGUGAGAUAUCUGGAGGAACACCGGUGGCGAAGGCGGCAUCCUGGACCGGUGCUGACGCUGAGGCGCGAAGGCGUGGGGAGCGAACGGGG
This 255-nucleotide ribosomal RNA is filed under the name uncultured bacterium. RNAcentral describes it as "partial 16S ribosomal RNA". It matches the Rfam family "Bacterial small subunit ribosomal RNA", at positions 524 to 777 of the family's 1533-position model. The record is from RNAcentral.